Molecule: ribosomal RNA, 429 nt
Filed under: Bacteroidota bacterium
Lineage: Bacteria; Pseudomonadati; Bacteroidota
Description: Bacteroidetes bacterium partial 16S ribosomal RNA
Rfam family: Bacterial small subunit ribosomal RNA
Source: RNAcentral
UAGGGAAUCUUCCGCAAUGGACGCAAGUCUGACGGAGCAACGCCGCGUGAGUGAAGAAGGAUUUCGGUUCGUAAAACUCUGUUGUUAGAGAAGAACAGCGCAUAGAGUAACUGUUAUGCGUGUGACGGUAUCUAACCAGAAAGCCACGGCUAACUACGUGCCAGCAGCCGCGGUAAUACGUAGGUGGCAAGCGUUGUCCGGAUUUAUUGGGCGUAAAGCGAGCGCAGGCGGUCAAUUAAGUCUGAUGUGAAAGCCCCCGGCUCAACCGGGGAGGGUCAUUGGAAACUGGUUGACUUGAGUGCAGAAGAGGAGAGUGGAAUUCCAUGUGUAGCGGUGAAAUGCGUAGAUAUAUGGAGGAACACCAGUGGCGAAGGCGACUCUCUGGUCUGCAACUGACGCUGAGGCUCGAAAGCGUGGGUAGCAAACAGG